This is a long non-coding RNA of Alosa alosa (allis shad), 647 nucleotides long. RefSeq lists it as uncharacterized. NCBI's taxonomy places the organism in Eukaryota, Metazoa, Chordata, Actinopteri, Clupeiformes, Clupeidae. The transcript is spliced from 3 exons. The record is from RefSeq and is a predicted model, not a curated record.
UGUUCGUCCACCUGACUCCUGCCUUCACCGCGGGAUCCCUUGUGCUGUUUUGGCCUCCUUCCUGCUGUGCACGCAUCCAGUGAUAUUCCUGGACUGCUGUCGGCUGCUGAACAUGGGCCUCAUAACCGACCUCAGCUGAUUGCAGAGCUUGCGAUAACACAAGGAGCGGCAACAUCAAGGCUACCUUGGUUCAAGUUCCGAACGCUGCUGUUUUGUUUUCACCUAAGUUGUGAUGGUCGAUUUUACAUGUUUUGUUUAUUGCAUGUUUGCAUACAUUUUAACUUUCACACAGGAGAAGAACUGUAUACCGACGGACGCUCUCGUCCAGUAGGCCUUAACUACUGUAUAAACUACGAUGUUCACCACACUAUUUGUGUGUGCAUACUGUGCAGUGUGCGUAUUGGCGCUUCCUUUUGAUUUUCCCCUCUUGCCAGGACAGGAGCUGCAGGCCAACUGGGGUGGCGGGUUAUCUCGAGGUGGUGGCGUCCCUUCACCUUUCCUGCUGUGGUGCAUUUGAAAACUUGCUAUUGACAUGUUCACGUGUGGUGUGUCUGUAGACCCUCCCUCUGAUAAACCCUCCAGCCCUGUUCCUGGCUCCUCUCAUCCCUCAGCCAGUAAUCUAAUGAGCACAUUCUAGUGUGUGUGUG